CAGUCGCGUUCUCUGGGAUUCAGCCUCGCUUCUUGCUUGGUGCAUUUCCGCGCAUGGCAGGUCAGCGUCAGUUUUGCGCGGCGUGAAAAGGCUCGGGUAAGGUAGCUCUCUUCGGGGAGUGUUAUAGACCUGGGCAGAUGCGCUGCGCGGGACUGAGGAUUGCAGCGGACACCCC
RNAcentral lists this ribosomal RNA (175 nucleotides) under Paraglomus laccatum. The record is from RNAcentral. Lineage: Eukaryota; Fungi; Glomeromycota; Glomeromycetes; Paraglomerales; Paraglomeraceae.